GCGCGGGUGGUGGAACGGCAGACACACCGCCUUGAGGUGGCGACGCCCGCAAGGGCAUGGAGGUUCGAAUCCUCUCCCGCGCA
Molecule: transfer RNA, 83 nt
Filed under: Candidatus Uhrbacteria bacterium RIFCSPHIGHO2_01_FULL_47_11
Lineage: Bacteria; Candidatus Uhriibacteriota
Also listed under: 5 other names
Description: tRNA-Leu
Rfam family: tRNA
About the family: Transfer RNA (tRNA) molecules are approximately 80 nucleotides in length.
Source: RNAcentral